GUCCACGCCGUAAACGAUGGAUACUAGCUGUUGGGAGCAAUCUCAGUGGCUAAGCGAAAGUGAUAAGUAUCCCACCUGGGGAGUACGUUCGCAAGAAUUAAACUCAAAGGAAUUGACGGGGGGCCCCGCACAAGCGGUGGAGCAUGUGGUUUAAUUCGAUGAUACGCGAGGAACCUUACCAAGGCUUAAAUGUAGAUUGACAGGUUUGGAAACAGACUUUUCUUCGGACAAUUUACAAGGUGCUGCAUGGUUGUCGU
Molecule: ribosomal RNA, 257 nt
Filed under: uncultured bacterium
Lineage: Bacteria
Description: partial 16S ribosomal RNA
Rfam family: Bacterial small subunit ribosomal RNA
Source: RNAcentral